Molecule: long non-coding RNA, 585 nt
Organism: Mirounga angustirostris (Northern elephant seal)
Lineage: Eukaryota; Metazoa; Chordata; Mammalia; Carnivora; Phocidae
Exons: 2
Source: RefSeq, a predicted model, not a curated record
CCGGACCGCGUGCCGCCGCGCCGACCCUGCCGGGAAGGACGCGACGGACGCCGAGCCACUCACCAGAGCCGAGGCGCCGCGCGGCCCGACUGACGGCAGCGAGCGAGCCCGGCGGGCGGCGCGGGCAGCGGUCAGGCUGUGGCUGCCAGGAAACUUGGAGCCAGGUUCAGCGCCUAGUGGUGUCAGCCGGCCCCGCUCGAGCCCUGGUCGGGCUUUCCUCCUCCGGUGCUUGUUCCAAUUGUCAAUUUUAAAAUUAUGUUCCCAAGCCAUUUAGCACCUCUGGAGUGCAAAGCACUGUCGUCUUCGAAAAGAUACACACGGGGCAAAGCCCAAGCUUAUCAAUCUAGAGAGAAAACUGAGACUGUGCCAGGCAACCUGAUUGGAGUUCCGAUGGUCUGUGUGAAGGGAUUUUGCUGUCGGCUUUGAGUUCAAGUGGAGAGAGAAGAGGCGAUGGAGAGAAAUUGGUGGCUGGACAGCCGCAGCACCAGGGUGUGUGGACUCAUUCUUGGACACAGGAAGACAGCCCUGGAGCUCCCAGGGCAAAAAAAAGGUUACCAAGAUAAUAAAGUCAGGUAUUAUCACUAA